CCUUCUUUGCCUGCCCCAUACUCUGAGUCUCGGCUCUUCAUUUUUUAUGAAGCUUUCCUCGAACAGAGUGCAUCCGCUGCCCCAGAAUGAGUAUUCAGAUUCCUUCACUUCUUUCUGUGUGUGUAUAUUGAGGAAAUGUGUGGACAUGUCUGUGCAGCGAUUUGGGAACAAACAUGCAAUCCAGUUGCACCAUUCUAAAAAGGUAAACACAAGACAAGAAAUUCUCUGCAGUCAUUGUAAGGAAGAACCAAAUUCUCUCUCACCCUGGGCACUUUCUGACCAACAACCAGCUCCAACCAUUCCUUCUCAUGUUAACAUUCUCUUGCAAUGCAAAUAGACCUUUCCCAAUCUCCUGACUUCACCCUGCUACUAUCUAGUUAGUGAUCGUCAUAUUCUCCCAUAUCACUGCACUUCAGUGCAAGGGAAAACUCUAAAUAACAUUUUUUGGACACUGACUCAAAGACUCAAUUACUCCUAUGGCAGAGAAGUUUUGCUGGAACUCAGAACUGCCCUGUUCCUUAGUAUCCAGAAUCCCAUGGCCUGGCAUCUACCACUCUGGCUAUGUCCACACUGAAAUUAGAAACCAAUGGCUGGCCCAUGCCAGCUAACUCGGGCUCACGAGGCUCAGGAUAAGUGGCAGAUUAAUUGCAGCAUAGACAUAUGUGUUUGGGCUGCAGUCCAAGCCCUGAGACUCUCUCACUUUGCAUUGUCCUAGAGCCCAAGCUCCAGUGUCAACUCAAAUGUCCAAAAUGCAAUUAAACAACCCCUUAGCUCAAGACCCUCAAUCCUGAGUCACCUUGCAUAGGCCAUAGUCGCAGGUGCCUAAUUUCACUGUAGACAUAUCCUCUGAUCAUUUUGGGAUUCAGAGUCAGAUAUUUAUUUUGAACUACUUCUUCGGAUAGAUCAUGAUAACUCUGAUGUCCCAUGGAGUGAUACAAACACUUAUUUAGAUAAAGAGGCUUUGGUUGUUCCACUCCCCACAAUCAUUUUUCUUCUUUCUACAGACCUACCCAGGACUGAAAGGCUUUGAACUAUGGAUUUUAUUAAAAGUCAGAGAAAAGAAGGUGGGAUUUAAAGAGAUUGUAAUAGCAGAGGUGGAUUCAGCUCUGCAUUAACAGAGACUGUUAUGGGCAAACUGGAGAGAAGUGGAAUUGAAAAUUGUUCAGCUGCUAAUAAUAUUUGUAUUUAUUUUUCUUACCUUAGGACACUUUGUACAUUAUAUGACAGCUCUGAUGCUCACAUUCAGUCAUUGGCCCCAUAAAGUUUUGGCUGGUCAUGUAACCCAAUCCCCUCUACCUCUUCAGCUGAGCUUUCCACCAUCAGCCAUUGAACCAUCACUGGCAGCUGAAGAUCCUUAUUUUACCAAGACCAACCUCAUAUUUUGGACUGGGGCUUUCCUGAAUGACAACUGACCAUCAUCUUCCCCGCAGUGACUAUUCAGAGUCUCAGCCAUUCUUCUCUGAGUGUACCUCAAAAACAGUUCCCUUGAAGAAGAGAAGACACCAGUGAUAGAAUCCAGAACCUCAUCAAUGGUAAUCAGGAAACAACACAAACACUAUAACAGAAAAGUACUGCUCCCCAGAUCACAGGUAAGAAUAAGAUCAGUUUCAGAAAACUCUCUCCUUUUGUUCACAACCAACUCCUCUCUUCUACGUUAGCAAUAUAAGACUCAGCUUCCAUCACCCAGAGAACAUCCCCCCUCCACAUCUUCCCUACACAUUUUCCCCAGUCCCAAUGAUGCUCAUAUGAACUUACUUGAUAUUCUGAAGGAUUUGUCAAUAUCUCCUGUGAUUGCUGAAAAAAUGAGUUUUUGUAAGCUCUCACAAGAGCAUGUGGAAAACUAAACUGGAAAUGUUGAGGUGCUUUUUUAGGUUCCAUGUUUGUCCAAAAUGGAAUAUUCAUCAAGCUGGAAAGAAUAUCUGGAAAUGCCAUCUGGUUCCAGCCUCAUCUCCAGGAAACAACUCCUAGGUGACAUCAUAUUUGGCAAAUUAUCCAUGGGGAACAUCUCCUAUAAGACCACAUA
Long non-coding RNA from Chrysemys picta bellii (western painted turtle), 2023 nucleotides. RefSeq lists it as uncharacterized. The record is from RefSeq and is a predicted model, not a curated record. NCBI's taxonomy places the organism in Eukaryota, Metazoa, Chordata, Testudines, Emydidae.